GCGGGUGUAGUUCAAUGGCAGAACGGCAGCUUCCCAAGCUGCAUACGAGGGUUCGAUUCCCUUCACCCGCUCCG
RNAcentral lists this transfer RNA (74 nucleotides) under Betaproteobacteria bacterium. Its description in RNAcentral is "tRNA-Gly". It matches the Rfam family "tRNA". Rfam says of the family: Transfer RNA (tRNA) molecules are approximately 80 nucleotides in length. Lineage: Bacteria; Pseudomonadati; Pseudomonadota; Betaproteobacteria. The record is from RNAcentral.